GAGAAGGAGUUCCUGGGGGGAUUCCUCAUAUUUUCACCAAAAAGCCAAGUGGGUCCAUUUGGGCUCCCUCUUGUCAUAGUGAGGCACCUGCAUUACAGAAAAGUGCACAGCCCAGGAUUGUGGCCAGAAGGCCAUGUUGCUGAGACAUUCUCUAUUGGCAUCAGUCUUAUGCUCAUAUGAGAAAGAAUUCUUCUAAACUUUGAGUUGAAAGUGGGGUUGAAAUAAUUUCUCAGUGAACAAGUCUGCGUUGAGUUGUUUUGUCUCAUCUUUUUACACCUAUAAUGCAUCAUCCCAGUCACACAGUCUUGUCUAAAGAACCAUUAUCCUCGGCAGGAAUUCAUAUGUGUGUCCUUUCUAUUGCCAUCAAGAACACACAACUGAACUGAUUGCACUCAGUCCUCACUCAAAAAUAAUGUGUUUGAAAAAUGUGGGUUUGGUGAAAAUGGGAGAGGUGUGGUGUUUUGAGAACAAUUCCUUGUUUUGUUUUGAAAACAUUCUGUCAGGGUCACCACCAAAUACUUAAACCCAGUAAGAGAGGAAUGCAUUGAGAAUUCUGAUUAACUCUGAUCUUGUCACCUCAGUUUUCUCUUUUUUUUUCUUUUCCUUCAUGUCUCCCUAUUCAUUUUCCUACAACAUCAGCUAUAGUGUAGGUAUAGAAACUAAGCCAGACAGACCACCCCUGAUUCCAUUGCCACAAAAGAAAGAUUUAUCUGGUUGAAGUGCUUCCAGUGAGGAAUUCUGAAGCCCAGAACCUUCUUACAAUUCUGAGGAAUCUUCUGUAAUCCCACCUUUGCAUCUGCAACUCCAUAGAUCUUUCCUUGUCUCUCUAUAUAUUCCAUCAUUUUUCUUGAGGCUACUAUAACUUCUCUCAGAACUUCAGAAAAAAGAGGAAGGCAUAAUUUUUUAAAAUUCAUUUAUCAGUUUAUUUUUAUUAUUUGCAGUAUUGGGAAUUGAACCCAGGGUGUCACUCUACUGGGAGAUACAUCCUCAGCCCAUUUACUAUGUUUAAUUUUAUUUGAGACAAGGUCUCACUAGGUUCUCCAGACUGACUUUGUGAUCCUCCUAUAUCAGACUCCCGAGUAGCUGGAAUUACAGACAGGUGUGGGACAAAUCUUGAUUUGCCACAUCAAAGUGAACUGAGUAACAGGAGAUACUGGCUAUGCAGGUUACAGGACAGGAGCAUUUCUGGGAUUGCAUAUGGGAUAUACUCCGAGCAAGGGCUUCUAACCUUUUCAAAGUGAAGUUGCUAGAUCCUGCCCCUUCCUCUUGGAUAUGCCAUAGGCCAUGUGGUGUCAGUAGGGCUGGAAGGGAAAUGGGUAAUGUGAAUUCUCAUCCACUGGGUCCUGUACAGCAUGCUAGCCAAGGCGAAUAUACAAGCCCAAACAUAUGAC
RNAcentral lists this long non-coding RNA (1391 nucleotides) under Marmota monax (woodchuck). Lineage: Eukaryota; Metazoa; Chordata; Mammalia; Rodentia; Sciuridae. The record is from RNAcentral.